This 254-nucleotide ribosomal RNA is filed under the name uncultured bacterium. Its description in RNAcentral is "partial 16S ribosomal RNA". It matches the Rfam family "Bacterial small subunit ribosomal RNA", at positions 524 to 776 of the family's 1533-position model. The record is from RNAcentral.
UACGGGGGGAGCAAGCGUUGUUCGGAUUUACUGGGCGUAAAGGGCGCGUAGGCGGCGCAACAAGUCACUUGUGAAAUCUCCGGGCUUAACUCGGAGCGGCCAAGUGAUACUGUCGUGCUAGAGUGCGGAAGGGGCAACUGGAAUUCUCGGUGUAGCGGUGAAAUGCGUAGAUAUCGAGAGGAACACCUGCGGCGAAGGCGGGUUGCUGGGCCGACACUGACGCUGAGUGAGCGAAAGCCAGGGGAGCAAACGGG